GUUGGCGGUGCUCUCCGUGGGACAGGGACGGGACAGCGAGGGGUGGCAUGAGCUGGGCGGCACCUUAGGGGGGACAGUCCGCGGGGCCGAGCGCCGGGGUUCCCGGGCUGCCCCCGCCACCGCCCUCCCCACCGGCUGACAUUUGCCAUGCGCAGACAACACGCACUUCACCAAACAAUUCAGCCCGAGUCUCGCUGCAAACUCGCUGGGUUAUUUUUCUCCUCGUUCUCCGCUUGUUUAUGGCUGACGCUAUCUCGCCUGCACCGCUCCCUCGGUUUCAUUAUCUCUCCUCGCAGAUGGCCCGUGGCUUUCCUUCUUCACAGGGCUUCUCUCUGCUGGUGCUAUAGCUCCCUCUUCUCUCCCCAGCUCUGCAUCCCUCACCCUUGCUCACAGGUGAGCCUUCCCCAGCAAAGCACUUCUCUGCAGCUGUCCUUCCUCCUGCAGUCCCUUUUCCUCUGAAGGCCCCAGCAUCCCGUAAAAUAAAGCCAAUGGUGCCAAUGUGAUAAUAGUGGCACUGUGGCCAGCGGGACCAGGGCAGUGACCAUCCCCAGUGCUGGAGCACCUGCAAUCCCAGGGAUGAUGAAUUUUUUAAUCGGCAGGAUUAAAGAAGUGCAACAGUUUCCAAGGAUUCAAAGGCAUGGUGGGAAAAGAAGAAAAGUUUUUUACCUCAUUGGCAGAGAAUUUAAGGAUGGAUGUAACAGCCAGCGUGUCCUCUAAGGCAGCACCUGAGUGGGCCAUGUCUGUGACAUCCUUUAAGGAAGAUGCUUCCUCUGGAUCACUUUCUUAGCCACCACAAUGAGCCAUCCUGGUAGAGCUGGGAGCCUCCAUGCAGGCUGGUUCCUGAGUCCUGGGUUCAUUCUGCACUUGGUUGUGCUGGUUCCCUGUGGAGAGCUCUGAUCACCCUUCCAAAAUACUCUGGGACUGUUUUCCUUUCUCAGAGACUGAGUUAGAGGAAAUACUUAACAGAGCAAUAACAGGGCAAAUGCAAAUCCUCCUUGCAGAGUUCUUUUAACUUCGAGCCACUAAAUACACAUUUAGUCUAUGGAACUGUAUUUACUUCCCCUCUCAGAGGAACAAGCCUUGUCAGCUGUAAUGAUGAGCUGUUGUUUGACGUUCAUAAUAUUGCACUUCACUGCUUAUCUGAUGGAGGCACGCAAAGUUAUUUAAGGGCUUCUGAAAUGUGACAGCCCACAUGAUGCUUUUUUAGACUUCCCAAACCGCCCUCACGAGGCAGGAGAAUAUGGCAUGGGAACGGCUGGCUGGAACAGCAGCGUGCCUUAAUGCCAGAGGGGUGCUGUAGCUGGGAAGGAGGAAUGGGCUUUGAAAGUUUGCAGCUUUUGUUGUGUGCUGUCAAAGGAAGAACUUGCAGCCUGAAGGAACAGGCAUCGUGGGUGCCAUGGGUGGGACUGUGGGGAUUAUUGAUCCUGCCUGGUAACAGCAUAAAGAUGGAGGCAAAUAUGUUAAAACCUGUUUGGACCAUCCACAGACAGAAGGGGGCUCAAGGGAGACUGCUCAGAUGCCCCAUUUCAUGCUAUCUUGCCUUAAUAAACAGAAAGAUCUCACUUUCUGACAAGCUUCUGUAUCUUCAUCCUUGCUGCAAUGCAGAGCAAUCAUUGUAAGUUUUGAAUCCUGGAAGCCUCCAGGUUAAAGAACUCAUUUAAGAAAACCAAAACUCAACAAGUCUUCUGGCUUCUUUUCACAGACUAACAGCAGAAGAUCACAAGGGUUACCUUUGACAUCUGUUCCAUAUGAACCCACGGAAGAUGAGUAAAUGGGUGGUGCAUUCUCACCUCCUUGCAGUGCCCAGGUUGGUUUUGUGUUCUCUAUUUUCAUCCUUCUGAAAUUGCUAUUCAAUUUAUUCAUAUCACUGAAGGGAUUUCAUAUCCCAGAUGAGAUGCACAGAUUAAAUAAGCAGGUAAGCAGUAGAAGAUCUUUUUACGUGACUCAAGAGAGAGGAUAAAUCCCAGUCCGGAUGAGUGGAAAUCUCUGACUCCCCUGUGACCAGGAUUUUACUUGCAGGCUUUAUGGUUGUCUCAUUGGAGUGGUCUUUUUGCCAAAAGCAAUGCAGAAUAUUCCACUUAGUUGACAAAAUGUCUGCCAUCAGGAGGUGGCUUCACUCAAAUAUACAUUUCUUUAAAAUGAAGACAAACUUGAAUUUAUUGCUCAUUUCAUUCAUAACCAGAAGUUCUCCUCACUUGCCAAACUGCUGAAUCAGCUUGGGUACCUCACCCUUGAGUCAGCACAGCCCAAAACAGAAACUUGCUCCAUUUCCGAAGAGGGGAAGUACCACUGCUGUCUGCAAAUACAGCCACAUCUGACAUGCUUUUAUAGCUACAAACACUCAGUGCAGGGACUUGCAUGGCACUCUGCUGCUAAAAAAAAAAAAAAAAAAAAGAAGUAAAAAGGCACUUUCUUA
Molecule: long non-coding RNA, 2416 nt
Organism: Pyrgilauda ruficollis (rufous-necked snowfinch)
Lineage: Eukaryota; Metazoa; Chordata; Aves; Passeriformes; Passeridae
Exons: 5
Source: RefSeq, a predicted model, not a curated record